RNAcentral lists this ribosomal RNA (497 nucleotides) under uncultured bacterium. RNAcentral describes it as "partial 16S ribosomal RNA". It matches the Rfam family "Bacterial small subunit ribosomal RNA", at positions 28 to 507 of the family's 1533-position model. The record is from RNAcentral.
GAUGAACGCUGGCGGCGUGCCUAAUACAUGCAAGUCGAGCGAACAGAUGAGGAGCUUGCUCCUCUGACGUUAGCGGCGGACGGGUGAGUAACACGUGGAUAAUCUACCUAUAAGACUGGGAUAACUUCGGGAAACCGGAGCUAAUACCGGAUAAUAUAUUGAACCGCAUGGUUCAAUAGUGAAAGACGGUUUUGCUGUCACUUAUAGAUGGAUCCGCGCCGCAUUAGCUAGUUGGUAAGGUAACGGCUUACCAAGGCAACGAUGCGUAGCCGACCUGAGAGGGUGAUCGGCCACACUGGAACUGAGACACGGUCCAGACUCCUACGGGAGGCAGCAGUAGGGAAUCUUCCGCAAUGGGCGAAAGCCUGACGGAGCAACGCCGCGUGAGUGAUGAAGGUCUUCGGAUCGUAAAACUCUGUUAUUAGGGAAGAACAAAUGUGUAAGUAACUAUGCACGUCUUGACGGUACCUAAUCAGAAAGCCACGGCUAACUACGUG